This is a long non-coding RNA of Lynx canadensis (Canada lynx), 648 nucleotides long. RefSeq lists it as uncharacterized. The transcript has 3 exons. Lineage: Eukaryota; Metazoa; Chordata; Mammalia; Carnivora; Felidae. The record is from RefSeq and is a predicted model, not a curated record.
AAGUGUCAGGCACUGCGGUGCAUUUUCCCAGUUCCCUUUUAAAUGACUGCGGAAAAAUAGACUCGGAGCCGCAAAUGGGAAGACGGAUUCUCAGACAAGGCUUGCGAAUGCCCCGCAGCCAUCAUUUAACUGCACCCGCAGAGCAGUUACGGUUUGUCACCCGACCCUCCCGGAUCGCCUCGUUUGUCCCUAGUGAGACCCCGAGGCUCUGCCCGCCGGGGUUGCCGGUAGCUGGAUGCCUGUCGUGCUCUGGGCAGCCCGGGCGCAGUGCACGCGUUCGCGCACACCCGCGCACACACGAAAACGCGCAAGAGCUGAACCGAGCCCGGUUUCCAUUUCAAAAAAGGAGACAGCCUCUACUGCGAUUGUAGAAGAGACCGCGGUGUGAAUUAGGGAAGAGAGGCGUCGAGCGGUGGAACGGUCCAUCUCGGAGACUAAUUUUCUGGAGUUUCUGCCCCUGCUCUGCGUCAGCCCUCACGUCACUUCGCCAGCAGUAGCAGAGGCGGCGGCGGCGGCGGCGGCGGCGGCUCCCGGAAUUGGGUUGGAGCAGGAGCCUCGUUCGCUCCUUCGCUCGCGCUCUCCGCGCUCAGUGCCCGGCGGCAGGAGGAGCCUGCACCCAGGCGCCGCCGGCGGGCGGUAGGCGCCGGA